Triticum urartu is the source of this 126-nucleotide non-coding RNA. The record is from Rfam. Lineage: Eukaryota; Viridiplantae; Streptophyta; Magnoliopsida; Poales; Poaceae.
AAUAUACUCCCUCCGUCCGAAAUUACUUGUUGUAGCAAUGGAUGUAUCUAGACGCAUUUUUAAUUCUAGAUAUACCCAUUUCUAUCCAUUUAUGCAACGAGCAAUUCGAGACGGUGGGAGUACCAA